Molecule: ribosomal RNA, 460 nt
Filed under: uncultured bacterium
Lineage: Bacteria
Description: partial 16S ribosomal RNA
Rfam family: Bacterial small subunit ribosomal RNA
Source: RNAcentral
CCUACGGGGGGCAGCAGUGAGGAAUAUUGGUCAAUGGGCGAGAGCCUGAACCAGCCAAGUCGCGUGAAGGAUGACGGCCCUACGGGUUGUAAACUUCUUUUGUCAGGGAGCAAUUGGGUCCACGCGUGGGCUUAGCGAGAGUACCUGAAGAAAAAGCAUCGGCUAACUCCGUGCCAGCAGCCGCGGUAAUACGGAGGAUGCGAGCGUUAUCCGGAUUUAUUGGGUUUAAAGGGUGCGUAGGCGGAAUAUCAAGUCAGCGGUAAAAAUGCGGGGCUCAACCCCGUCGUGCCGUUGAAACUGGGGAUCUAGAGUGUGCGAGAGGUAUGCGGAAUGCGUGGUGUAGCGGUGAAAUGCAUAGAUAGCACGCAGAACCCCGAUUGCGAAGGCAGCAUACCGGUGCACAACUGACGCUCAGGCACGAAAGCGUGGGUAUCGAACAGGAUUAGAUACCCUGGUAGUC